This is a long non-coding RNA of Bombus impatiens (common eastern bumble bee), 3262 nucleotides long. RefSeq lists it as uncharacterized. The transcript is spliced from 3 exons. NCBI's taxonomy places the organism in Eukaryota, Metazoa, Arthropoda, Insecta, Hymenoptera, Apidae. The record is from RefSeq and is a predicted model, not a curated record.
UUCUACGGGUAAUUUCACCAUCGAUUCGUUAUAAUAUUUUACGGUUACCACGAUAAUCUAAAAUUCUGUAAAGGAAAAUGAAAUUUGUCCGUUCGAAGCGUUUAGUGUACUUACAAAGGAACGAACAGUCAUUCGAGUAUAUCGGUGCAAAUCCAGGCUCGUUAAGCCAUUAAAUGACAACAGGCCCCGCGGGUUAUCGUCGCGCUAAUAAAGCCGGCGUUGCGGACACGGUACAACGAUAAGAAAGCUCGUUUUAUUUCUCCUAGCUCUCGAUCUUCGUCGUAAACGUGCGUAACACGCGAGCCUGUCGAGGAAUCGAGAUAAGGCACGCAGAUAUAUCGGUGAGUCGACGCGAACCUCGUCAAAGAUUGCGCUAAUACGGGACAACGCGGACGAUCAGCCGACACGCGGCUUUUACGCUGACUCAGAACCACGCAAACACCAUUUUUAAUACGCUGCGCAAUGUAUUUUUUCUCAGUUUUGAUCGAUCGACGUUAACGCAAGCGAGCGCGGGGACUUUACAAUAUUCAACGUUUCUAAAAAAUGUCUCCAAAAACGCACUUUUAGUCAUCGAUACAGUGAAUCUGCCCCCAAAUCAAGAAUGUAAAAAUCUUACAUAAAUCCUACUUACAUAUAUAUACAACAUACAUUUAAAAAAAGGACACCCGAGAAGAAGUAUCAAUCGUCCAAUGCAAAAAAGUCCAUUUUUAACUGUCAAUCUGACGCAACGUCGACCACUAAUUGCUUUUAAAAAGCGAUAAUUCUGUUGACGUUGAUUCGGGACAGCACGAGCCGGAUUUUUCUCGGGAUUUCCAGGUUGUUCCCUCGAGGCCUGGCUCUCGUUAAUUUACAUUGGACGCUCGAUGAAUCCUUCGGGCACGAAAGCGGCCAAAGCAAAUUUGCUCAGUCCGGUCACGCGCGCACCGCUCCUCAGCACACGCGUUCCAACGUUUACCAGUGUCAUUAUUACCUGACGAGGUAAACCGAAUGCGCAGGCUGGUUAAUGGCAAUGGUAGAAAAGAGAACUGAACGAGAAUCGAACGAACACGAAAUCUAGAAGGUUUUAACCUGCAACGAUAAUGCAUCGGCAAUUGCUCUAUACUCAGCUAAUAUAGAAGCAACAUCGCGAAAGCAGAACAUGGGACAGUUUAUCAAAGAUAAGUCCGACACUAUGGCUAUGAGGUUAUGGCAUCUUCAAGGCCGUGAUACGUGAAAACACUACCGACUUACAACGAUGUUCGGUUCCUCGUCGUCACGGUCCUACCUUCCUCUCCGUGUUAAACGACAAUUUGCCGGUGUUACGCCGUCGAGAACACAGAUGCUAAUUGGAUAAUUAUAUGCAACAUCUAUUAAGCGGUGCGCGGUCCCGUGUAAUCUUCAAAUUUAUUUUGUCGAAGGAAAAGAAACGUAAUGGAAAAAAGGAAACGCAAAUACACGAAGGAACAUGGAUUGCUUAAUAACGUCGAGCAACAUGGCGGAACGCGAACGCUUGUAAAAUAUAUAGGGUGAUCCGUAAUUGAUGAUUCACAUGGGAUCAGGGAGGUUCUAUGGGUCAAAAUAAGACGAAAAUCAAGAAUAACAAUAUUACUGUGCAAAGUAUACGUAAAUUUGCUGAAUUCUCAGUUAGAUAGGAAUAGAUAAUCGAUAGGAUGUUAUUGUACAUGUGAAAAUGAGUGGAAAAUGUAAAACAAAACCUUCUCACCUAAAACCUCAUUUUCGAAAAAAUCAAUUUCAGAGAAUUUGCCUAGUAUCUACAUACCGAACUAAUUCUUGACUAACGCAGGUGUACAAAUCCCACUUUCUUCAAAACGGUGUAUUAAAUAACAGAAUUUUAUGUUUCAUCUUCAUCUUAUUUUGACACAUAGAAUAAUUUCUUUUCAUUUCGUCCGUUCCUGCCAAACCGAGAGCUGAUUAAGUUCACGUGUACCUCACAAAUUUUCAAACUCGAUUUCCACAAAAACGAAGUCUUCGACGCAAUUUUGGUAUUCUUGAUUUUCGUCUUACUUUGAACUAGUGAGCUUUCCUGACCCCACUUUUAUCGUGAAUUACGGACCACCCUCUAUAGCAUUCGGUCGAUACUAUUCAGCUAGCCACGCUGACGUUAAUCGGAUAAUUCUACGCGAACCCUGUCGUGCGUUAAUUUAGAUAUUAUUCCUUGUUCGCGACGUCCACCGUAGCUGGAGAAAAUUCCAUUGGGAGAGUCGUGAAGACAGCGACCAAUGGAAGGGGUAAUUAUGAUACCACGGCGGAAAAUAAUUAAACGUUUGCCUGCGCUAUCGGAACUUUCAGUAUUUCGAGCGAAAACUCCGUUAGUCGCCAGCACGUAUUAAUUUGAGCCUCGAGAAUGAUUAUGCGGUAAUUCGAAUCUGUUCUUUUGGAUUUAUGGACUAUCUUGUUCCUCGUUGAUUGAAUCUGCCUUGAAAAUUCCCAAGUUGAUGGUUUUUGUCUUUGCACCGUUCUACUUCAUGUACAUAUAUGGAUGAAUGAUUGAUGCUUCGUUGAAAUGAAUGGCAAAUGAAAUGUUAAUAUUCAAGAAUAUCAAAAUUAUUGGGAUAUAUUUCACGAACAAGCUUAAGUUAGAUUGAAAAUGUUUUCAAUCAUAAGUCUCGUCUUCGUCGAAACAACAUCGGACAACCUUUUGUCUCCUUUAAUUUCCGUAUUUUCAAGUUCGAAACAUUUUCAAAAAAUAGCAAUCUAUAGAGACAUUUUGCUUCAUACUGAAGCAACAUUCGACAACUAACGGUGAUUUUUUCAAAAAACAGGAUCAGCAAUAAGAUACUUGUUCGAUGUUGCUUCAGUGGAAUCGAGACUAUAUGUUAAGCCUCUGCCUUUUUAACUUUCGUCCCUGAAAAUUUUCUUUAACCCCUUAACUAAUAAAAUUAUGACUUCCGGUCGACAAAAUGUAUAAUUCUUUUAUGUUCUAAAAUACUUCCAUGCACGAUAAAAAAUGUAAAAAUGUCAUAUUUUACAAGUACCUUUUGUAAUAAUUACGCAGUGUGGUAGAUUUUGAAACACGGAAUACACAACCCGUUUAGUUUCUUUUUUAUUCCCAUUUUGCAAAUAUGGAUAAAGAAACAUACAAAAUAUCUUGAUGUUAUUUUUAUUAUGUAAGAAAUUAUUGCAUUGAUAUUUCGGAGAGUACAUAGAAAUACGAAAAAAUGGGAAUUAUGUCAAGUUAACUCGGUUGAUUAAGGCAGAAGGUUAAUAAAUAUAAGUCAAUCGAAUCAAGUGUUACCGACAUCAGUUAAUUUCAUUCUAAUCA